Molecule: ribosomal RNA, 465 nt
Filed under: uncultured bacterium
Lineage: Bacteria
Description: partial 16S ribosomal RNA
Rfam family: Bacterial small subunit ribosomal RNA
Source: RNAcentral
GACGAACGCUGGCGGCGUGCUUAACACAUGCAAGUCGAACGGAAAGGCCCCUUCGGGGGUCCUCGAGUGGCGAACAGGUGAGUAACACGUGAGUAACCAGCCCUUGACUUCGGGAUAACUUCAGGAAACUGGGGCUAAUACCGGAUAGGAAUCCUUGCUGCAUGGUGGGGGUUGGAAAGCUUCGGCGGUUUUGGAUGGACUCGCGGCUUAUCAGCUUGUUGGUGGGGUAGUGGCUUACCAAGGCUUUGACGGGUAGCCGGCCUGAGAGGGCGACCGGCCACAUUGGGACUGAGAUACGGCCCAGACUCCUACGGGAGGCAGCAGUGGGGAAUAUUGCACAAUGGGCGGAAGCCUGAUGCAGCAACGCCGCGUGCGGGAGGACGGCCUUCGGGUUGUAAACCGCUUUCAGCAGGGGCGAAGCUUGUGGUGACGGUACCUGCAGAAGAAGCACCGGCUAACUACGUG